GGUGUGUGGAGCUGUUCAUCGCACGAGAGCUGGGAAAGCAUUGUUCCGGACUCCUUAGGGAUGCUGUAUGCAAGACUAUACCUUAGCAAAAUCACCUCCUCCUUCCAACCGACACCCACUCAGACCAACACCAGCAUCUCAGGUAAUAACACUGUGUGUGGGCAGGCGAGGGGGCGGGCCCCAGUCCUCUGCGUGUGUUCACUUACACUGUUGCUAUGCCGACACACAGCUUCCUCUAUGCUAGCACUGGCCUGGCCCCUGAAUCCUCCCUGUGGGUUCCCGCUGAGCAGAGUCUGUUUAAUGUUCACUGGAUGGCCCAGGGGACAGUUCUUCCUAGAUGCCUUCACAUGGGAAAUGAAAUACGUGGCCCACACUGCCACCCCCACAGGGGCUGUCUGCUUCAUUCUGGAUCUCUGGCUCAAGACUGGGACAGUCCUGGGAUGCUAAACAAGGCUGGCACCCACGGGUCUCAGUGCUGGCAUGGUCUUCAGGGUUCUGGGACGCCCACUGGUCACCCCCACCCCUGCACAGUCCGGCAUCACUGGAGGAAGAAGCGUGGAUUGGCAGAUCCAUCUGCUUCCUGCUUAACUCUGACCAUAACACACACACACACACACACACACACACACACACACACACACACACAGUAGAUCUCUGUGAUUUAACUCAGAUCACAGAGGAGGAGGCACCUUCCUCGUGGAGGUGCCUCCAGACACAAGGAAUAAAUGUCACCAGCCCAGGAUCCUGCAACUGCUCUCUGGGUUUGGACCAGUGGGGGGUCCUGGGCAUGAUCCAGUGCCAAGGACCAGAGAAAGAGGUGACUCUGAGUCUCAUGCCCAAGCGAGGGACACGGGGUCAGGGGAGGGCCGGACUGCUCUGUCUACUGUUCUCAUGGGACAGCUAAGGUCAUACCUGCCCAGCUUCCUGGUCUCUGGAAGUCAGCACCGACUCCCUCAUAGCAGAUAUUGUGCCCAGCCUCAGGCAGAGGUCAAGGCAGGCUGUUUCACCUUGUAUUGCCUUGUUUUUUGUAAGCGCCCAAGGGGCCUUCUCUUCCCACCCAUUACCCUGCGCUCAUGUUGGGUGCAGAACUGUCUGCAGGGAUAGAGGACCCUCUGCACAUCCGGGACACAAAUCUUCAUCAGCACUGCCCCUCGGCUGAGUUCAAGGCGGAACAGUAACUGCCCCGGGAUCCUGUGGAAGCUGAGUCACAGGACUUCCAAGGAGGACUGAAGAAGCAGAACAAGAGACCGCAGCUUGUGAGGAUUAAACAGCAAGUUCCUCCUUUCUCUCCAUGCCGCAGGCCUACCCAGUCUUCCCUGAAAGCACACGCAGCUAGCCGCAGCUCCUGGGUCUUCAAUUCCCAGCCACCUUUUAAGUUUGACUUCCAGUCUGCGGUCUGCAGCACCUGAAGGGCUGGCAGUGCCAUCUUCUGAGAAAAGACAUUUCACAACACCUGGUCUGUAGUGAGGUCCCUGGAUGCGGAUGCCACAUGGCACAUGUGGUCUUCAGGAGGGAAAUGCAAAGACUGCACUGGGGCUUAAGGACCAAGGAGCUAGCUCCAGCCAUCUUGGCUGUUCCCAUCUCUGCCUGCGGACCAGGAAGCCGAGCGGCAGCCCACACUCUUCCCCUGGAAUCCUUACCGCUGAGAUGAGAAAUGCAGACUCCUGCUAAUGUGGAGUCUUCCUGGCCGUGUCAGACCGGCUCUGCCCUCUCAUCCCUCAUCCACUUGGCCCACGCUUCAGCCCGAGGACCACAGUUCCUCCUGGAGUCACAUCUCACUCUGACACUCUCUGUGGUAUCCCUCCUCAUACCUUCCUCGUGAACUCUGCUUAUCUUGAUGGGGGUGGCGAUGAGGCCCCGUGGUUUGAUUUUUAUAGCCCUGCAGACCAGGAAGACAGGGCUGACUCAGGGCUGACACAGCGCUUGGCCAUUACAAGGCCAGCUCUGACCUGGGUAUGGCUUUACCAUGCCUGCUGAGGACUAGGCAGAAAGGAGUCACCAGAGCGCUUGACACUGUCCCAUGGCCGGACACACUGCGGGGGUCUGCUCUACGGUACCCGCACUUGGCAGGUGCAGAACAGUAUGUUCUAGAUGCUGGAUGAAGGGUCACAUGGCAUUGGUUCAGUUCUGUGAUCCUGGCCGUGGAUCCCUUAAGUCUGAUGCUCUGUUUGAAAACAGGAACACAGGCCCGGGACCUGUUCCUUCCCUUCCUGCAGAACCGUUUCUGAGCAUGCCCCGGAGGUCACAGGGGUGCCAGGACGGAUGUGUGGAGCCUGGGUCUGUGCCGCUGUGUUACUUAUCACAGAAGAGCGUGGCUGAAGACCACUGUGGCGCGGCUCUAUCCCUGUCCUGGCUGUUCAUCCUGGCUGUCCCUUUAUCCCUCGUUCCUUCUGUCCAUCCAAGUUUAGUAUAAAGCAAGGAGAGCAGAGAUUCUCCAGUGAUGAAGCCAGAGCUGUGCUCGUGGCUCUAGGAAAAACGGCUGGGGAGUUAGCAUCCGAACCCCAGAAACGUCAGCCUGCUCAUGGGCGCAGAUUGCUUUAGACCUGCAUCAGCUCUUUGAGACUAGACACACACACACACACACACACACACACACACACACACACACACACACUCAAAGGCAAGAAAGAAAGCUAAAUACAGCUGAGAAAGAGAAAAGAUGGCAAGGUUCUGGAGAGACUCUCAGGGAGUAAGACCACUCUUGCAGAAGACCCAUGCUUGGCUCCCAAGUUCCCAUGUUAGGUAGCUCACAGGGAGCCUAUAACUUCAGCCAUGGAGGAUCUGAUGCCCUCUUCUGGCCUCUGUAAGCACUGGUACUCACGUGUAUACACGCACACACGCACGCCCGCACAUAAACACAGAAAUAACAUGUGGAGAAUACAGUUCCUCCCUAUGUGACAAUCAGUAUAAGAACUGCCCUCAUGCCUUGUGUUGUCUGGGAGGCAUUCUGACCCAGGCUGCCAGGUUAUAGACCCCAAACCCAGGACACGCUGACCUCCGAGCCCUCUCAUUCAGUCCCACGUAGCUGUGAUGAUGCCUCGCCCUCAGAGCCUCCCUCCUAAUGGCUCUCCACCCUGCAUCUCCCAAGCUCAGCCACAGGCUCCCAGUCUGUGCAGGAAGGCAGCCCCCUCCAGCAGCAGCACCCCCAUCCCAGCUGGGGGAACACAGGUUGAGAUCCCGGGCUGCACCCACAUCUCAGCUGUGGCUGCCCACAAAACAGGAACAGCAUGAAUCUCAUUUCCCCAGAAAAGCAGGUUUUGCUUCUCUAUAAAUGUGCCUAGUUAUUUUGGGGCUAAAAAUGGCACCGAGGGGACUGGUACACAGAUUCCAAUGCUCUACUCCUGAGACUCGGAAGCCUCCAGCACUGAGCCUCUCUAGAGCAUGUGGCAUAAUAAAGGGAGCAUUACCUUAGCUUGGUGGCCUUCUGGGGAAGGCUGCACAGAGCACCCCCAGCACUUUGGGUUUUAGUUUACUAGUAUUAAUAGCAGUAACAGUGAUGAGGAGGACGAUAUAGUGCUGCCAUUUGGGGAAAGACAUCUUAAGGGAGUGUUAGUAUGUCCCAGUAUAAAAAUGACCGCUACACUACACUGGCUCUUGUGUGUGUCUUUUAGCACGAGUGCCACCUGUGUGCCGUGCUUUAUGUGGGCAUUUCCCUUCACCAACAAAGCACCCCUGACUUAGAGGCCCAGAAGAGCAUCGGGUGACACGCAGCUGGGCUAUUUUAGACAAAGAAACAGGCAGGUGACAACUGCUGCUCAUAAGAUCUGCCCUGUGGGGCAUGUCUACACAGGUUUUGGAACUUUCUAGGAACGUGAUUUCCAAAGUGAUGUCACUGGUACCAGUGAGGGCUGCAACAAAAUUCCAGGAGUUGCUGUGGUACUGGGACUUGGUAGGUCGCACUCUGUGCUUGAAGGACAGGUUCUUACAACAAAGGUAACCGAAGUUACCAGGAGACUACAGGGGUAGGGUGGGGUGGGGUGGGUGAAGGGGUGGGUGCUUGUCCAGGUUUCCUUCUGCCUCUCCUGUGGCUAGCUGGCAGGAUGCUGGGAACACAGAGAAGCCACUUCAUGCGAGAAUCAGGAAAACGGAUGCAGAUGAAGCCCAGCACUUGGAUGGAGGCAGCAGGAUUUUCAGUUGAGGUUCAGUCUCAGAGUGAGGGAAACUGUCUCAUUGCUGUCCCAGGAAGCUUUGAACCUGCGGCUGCCCAGGAAACCUAGUGCCACCUGUGCCUUUGCCCGGAUGGAAACAUCCUGCAUCACCUCCUGACACCUGAACUGCCCUACGGAGCCUGCGGGCCUGAGGCAGCGUCUGCACCUAUGAGCGCCAUGUCAGACACACACUCUGGUUUGCGGCUUUGGCAGCGGGAGCAUGGUUAGACGGGGGGGAUGCUGAACACGCAUGGGGCCCUGGAUUCUACUCCCAGCAGGAAAACCUCCCCGGGUUCUCUGCAUCACUCUCUCCUUGAGGGAACAGCACAUGCCACCAAUGCAUGUCCUGAAACAGGUGUCGGAACAACGUCUAAAAGUGUGAUGUGUGAACUCUUAGCAGAACGGCCUGAAGUCCUGCUCUGGUAAGGUGGUAAACCCCACCAUAGAUGGCCUACCAAUGUUUUCUGAGGCCAGUGGUGAUGGCAGUUUGACACUGAAGUCCUGGAGAUUGCUGAGCGGUCAUUCGAAACUACCCCACCCCCAAAGGAUGAAAACAGAAACAAACCAAUGUGUCCUGAGCCUACAUAGGGAUGGGCUGGGUGAGAGAAGGCUUAAGACAGAUG
RNAcentral lists this small RNA (4771 nucleotides) under Rattus norvegicus (Norway rat). RNAcentral's name for it is "uncharacterized LOC102557538". The record is from RNAcentral. Lineage: Eukaryota; Metazoa; Chordata; Mammalia; Rodentia; Muridae.